GAAGGUAUAGCUCAGUGGUAGAGUACAUGCCUACCAUUCACAUGAUCCUGGGUUCAAUCCCCAGUAUCUCCA
RNAcentral lists this transfer RNA (72 nucleotides) under Camelus bactrianus (Bactrian camel). It matches the Rfam family "tRNA". From Rfam's summary of the family: Transfer RNA (tRNA) molecules are approximately 80 nucleotides in length. Lineage: Eukaryota; Metazoa; Chordata; Mammalia; Artiodactyla; Camelidae. The record is from Rfam by way of RNAcentral. RNAcentral also lists the same sequence under 2 other names.